GCAGUCGAGCGCAUCCUUCGGGAUGAGCGGCGGACGGGUGAGUAACGCGUGGGAAUGUGCCCUUCUCUACGGAAUAGCCACUGGAAACGGUGAGUAAUACCGUAUACGCCCUCAGGGGGAAAGAUUUAUCGGAGAAGGAUCAGCCCGCGUUAGAUUAGGUAGUUGGUGGGGUAACGGCCUACCAAGCCUACGAUCUAUAGCUGGCUUUAGAGGAUGAUCAGCCACACUGGGACUGAGACACGGCCCAGACUCCUACGGGAGGCAGCAGUAGGGAAUCUUGGACAGUGGGGGCAACCCUGAUCCAGCCAUGCCGCGUGAGUGAAGAAGGCCCUAGGGUCGUAAAGCUCUUUCGCCUGUGAUGAUAAUGACAGUAGCAGGUAAAGAAACCCCGGCUAACUCCGUGCCAGCAGCCGCGGUAAUACGGAGGGGGUUAGCGUUGUUCGGAAUUACUGGGCGUAAAGCGCGCGUAGGCGGAUUGGAAAGUUGGGGGUGAAAUCCCGGGGCUCAACCCCGGAACUGCCUUCAAAACUCCCAGUCUAGAGUUCGAGAGAGGUGAGUGGAAUUCCGAGUGUAGAGGUGAAAUUCGUAGAUAUUCGGAAGAACACCAGUGGCGAAGGCGGCUCACUGGCUCGAUACUGACGCUGAGGUGCGAAAGUGUGGGGAGCAAACAGGAUUAGAUACCCUGGUAGUCCACACCGUANACGAUGAAUGCCAGUCGUCGGAUAGUAUACUAUUCGGUGACACACCUAACGGAUUAAGCAUUCCGCCUGGGGAGUACGGUCGCAAGAUUAAACUCAAAGGAAUUGACGGGGGCCCGCACAAGCGGUGGAGCAUGUGGUUUAAUUUCGAAGCACGCGCAGAACCUUACAACCCUUGACAUCCUGUGCUAUAUCCAGAGAUGGAUAGUUCCUUUCGGGGACGC
This 922-nucleotide ribosomal RNA is filed under the name uncultured marine bacterium. RNAcentral's name for it is "bacterial SSU rRNA". It matches the Rfam family "Bacterial small subunit ribosomal RNA", at positions 57 to 1029 of the family's 1533-position model. The record is from RNAcentral.